AGUGAACGCUGGCGGUAGGCCUAACACAUGCAAGUCGAACGGCAGCACAGUAAGAGCUUGCUCUUACGGGUGGCGAGUGGCGGACGGGUGAGGAAUACAUCGGAAUCUACUUUUUCGUGGGGGAUAACGUAGGGAAACUUACGCUAAUACCGCAUACGACCUACGGGGUGAAAGCAGGGGAUCUUCGGACCUUGCGCGAUUGAAUGAGCCGAUGUCGGAUUAGCUAGUUGGCGGGGUAAAGGCCCACCAAGGCGACGAUCCGUAGCUGGUCUGAGAGGAUGAUCAGCCACACUGGAACUGAGACACGGUCCAGACUCCUACGGGAGGCAGCAGUGGGGAAUAUUGGACAAUGGGCGCAAGCCUGAUCCAGCCAUACCGCGUGGGUGAAGAAGGCCUUCGGGUUGUAAAGCCCUUUUGUUGGGAAAGAAAAGCAGCAGGUUAAUACCCCGCUGUUCUGACGGUACCCAAAGAAUAAGCACCGGCUAACUUCGUG
Molecule: ribosomal RNA, 493 nt
Filed under: uncultured bacterium
Lineage: Bacteria
Description: partial 16S ribosomal RNA
Rfam family: Bacterial small subunit ribosomal RNA
Source: RNAcentral